RNAcentral lists this ribosomal RNA (253 nucleotides) under uncultured bacterium. Its description in RNAcentral is "partial 16S ribosomal RNA". It matches the Rfam family "Bacterial small subunit ribosomal RNA", at positions 524 to 776 of the family's 1533-position model. The record is from RNAcentral.
UACGUAGGGAGCAAGCGUUGUUCGGAUUUACUGGGCGUAAAGGGCGCGUAGGCGGCGCGGUAAGUCACUGGUGAAAUCUCUGAGCUUAACUCAGAACGGCCAAGUGAUACUGCAGUGCUAGAGUGCAGAAGGGGCAAUCGGAAUUCUUGGUGUAGCGGUGAAAUGCGUAGAUAUCAAGAGGAACACCUGAGGCGAAGGCGGGUUGCUAGGCUGACACUGACGCUGAUGCGCGAAAGCCAGGGGAGCAAACGGG